UACCUCUGCCUUAGCACAUUAAUCCAAGCAUCUAUAUGCUGCAUAUUAAAUAUAACAAGUUAGAAGUUACCAGACGACUUAAAUAUAAGUCGUCUACGUGGUCGUCCAAGUAGACGACUUUCCAGACGAUUUAUCUUUAAGUCGUCUGGAAAGUAGUCUACUUGGACGACUUUGUAGACGACUUAAAUCGUGUGCAGAAGACUUACGCAGUCUUCCAGCCAUCCUCUGGCUGUCCGGAGGAAGUGGUACCACCUUGUUGGUGAUGUACGUGGUUUGUCCUCGGUCUUAGUUAAAUAAUGACUGCAAACAAAAAAGCAAUCAGUUUUGGACGACUAAAUCAAGCUAUUAUGGGUAAAGCAAUCACUUACGGAUCAGUUUUCAACCAAUCAGCGAGUUCCUUCAACUUAUCUUUGUUUACUGGCGGAAAUGGAUUAUAGGCUGCCACUUUAUCUUUUUUUUUCUCUGCCGUAUAAGGAGAUCUCACAGUGGGAGCAGGUUUCUUCGCUCGUUUACUCUUUGCACGCUUGUCCAAUACAACCAGGCUCGGUUCUGAAACUGGAUCGCUUGGCUCGGUGGAAGCGAGGCUCGGUUGUUGAUCGGUGGAAGCGAGGCUCGGUUGGUGAUCGGUGGAAGUGACAGCAACAAUCUCUUUGGAGGUGACACCAUCUGCUUUAUCCUCCGGCAAGAUCUUAUUUACCGAGUUCGCCUCGGUUGCUGUAUCCUCCGGCAACCAUCUCUGCAAUAAAAGUUGCACACAAGUUAACCCUGGACGACUUAAAUAAAAGUUGUCUGGACGACUAGUUGACCCUGGACGACUUAAAUAUAAGUCGUCUGGACGACUAGUUGACCCUGGACGACUUAAAAUUAAGUCUUCCGUGGUCAACUAGUCGUCCAGACAACUUACGUUUAAGUCGUCCAGGGUCAACUAGUCGUCCAGACAACUUUUACAGUCGUCUGGACAACUAGUUAACCCUGGAUUUGAUACUAACCUCUUUGAUUUGAGGAGGCUGUUUCUUUUGAGGAGGAGGCUGUUUCUUUUGAGGAGGAGGAGGCUGCUGCUGUUUCUUUUGAGGAGGAGGAGGCUGCUGUUUGGUUUGAUGAGGAGGAGGCUGGUUACUAACCACGGUUUCAUUGGCAUGAGGGGUAGCCUGUUUGUUUCUACCCCCGGUUUCUUUGGCAAGAGGGGUAGGCUGUUUAUCUUGAGGGGUAGCCUGAUUGGUUAGAGGUGGAGGGGUAGCCUGAUUGGUGACACCAACCUUCUUCUCCACAGCUUCCAAUCUAUCGGACAACUUCCUAAACUCCCUCAUGCACUUAUUAAACCCUUUUUUCAUGCAGUCAGCUACGCCCUUGAACAUAAUUUCCAACUCCUCUCUGGUCACCCCUCUAGCCUCUUCUCUAGCCUCUUCACUAGCCACUUUAGGAGCCUCUUUACGAGCUUUCUUCCGAGGUCUUGGAUUGUCUUCCUCCUCCUCCUCCUCCUCCUCCAACACAACCAUCUCUUUGGCCUUCUUCGAUGGAGUCACAACCUUAGGUUUUGUAUUGACCUUAGUACCAGUGACUUCCCAGCAAUCCAUGGUCCACUUCCACGGUCUCCGCUCAUACAUGACUUUAAUGAUGUUCUCCGCGGGCAGGUCCUCAACCUCAGAGUCCCAUUUUGGCCACAUUUCACUAAUGUCCUUCUCAACAAAGUUGAUCACGCGGGUCUGCAGUAAAUAGAAGAAUCGAGUUAGAUAUUUGAAAAAAAAUACUAAAUAGACGACUUAAUUAUAAGUCGUCUACUAAGUCGUCCAGCUGGAAGACCUUCCAGACGACUUAUAAUAAGUCGUCUAAUAAGUCGUCCAGAUGGAAGACUUUCCAGACGACUUAAUUAAGUCGUCCGAUAAGUCGUCCAGCUGGGAAGACUUUCCAGACGACUUAUUAUAAGUCGUCCGAUAAGUCGUCCAGCUGGACGACCUUCCAGACGACUUAUAAUAAGUCGUCUGCGCAGUCUUUUGGAUUGAAGUAAAUACCUGACUCAAGAUAGCAGCUUUCAUUGAUCUGCGGCCUCUGCUGCCCUCGUAAGCCAGUAUCGGUGGAGACGGACUGUCUGCUCUGGGACCACCAAUACUAGCACCCAAUUCCGGCAUAGCUGUGUACGUCCAGACCUGAAGAACUUGUAUAAACCCAUCCACGGUGUAACAGCCAGCAAUUUCUUUGUUCCACAAAGAGUCCAUCAGCACCUUAAACGCGACUCUCCCCCAUGGAUAAUUCUCAAACCGUUCUAAAUCCAUCACUAGCCUUGCCAGAGUAGAUCGUGUAGCGGUUGAAAACUUUCUCCCUUCAAUGAAUCCAGUGAAGAUGGAGAGGUACGCGAGCCGCUUGCGAUCUUCCCUGGACCAAUCCCCGCAUCUCUUCAGUGCUGCUAUUAUCUGAUCAGUAGUUGGCCCAGCUUCCAGAUGAACUCCCAGCAUCCCCCAGAAAGAAACCAUCUCUGGGGUAACGUCACAUUUUGGUGUCUCAAGGUCCUCGAUGUACUCGCAGUUUAGACCAGUGAGGUUUUCAAACUCUAACAGUGAAAACCUCAAAGGUUCUGGACCAACGAGAGACCACAUCUCAUACUUCUUCUUAAUGUCCAGCUUGAAACUGAGCAUGUAGUGAACCAGCCUUGAAGCCCAACCAAAUCCCUGCUCCUUGAACUUGAUGAAAACUCCCAAACUCGACUCCUUGAGCUCUUCAAAUUCGUCAUCAGUAAGAGCUUUCCUAAGAGCAGUAUGCAACUUGCUGUUAUCCGUAUGAUACGAAAUGCUAUUGUGGGCUUCUGGCUCUUCCCCUGAUGUGUAUAACCUACGGGGGAGUUCUGGAAUAUCCAUCCUUUUUGUCUGCAAAAUAAUCAAAGACAACAAUAUAAGUCCAGACGACUUAGUAGACGACUUAUAAUUAAGUCGUCUGGAAAGUCUUCCAAAUGGACGACUUAUAUUUAAGUCAUCUACUAAGUCGUCCAGUUGGAAGACAAAGCCGGACGACUUAAAUUACUUACAAGUCUUCCAGUCGCAGAAGGAGUUGGAGUACUCGUCAUUGCGGUUAUAGAUCUGAAAAAAUAAACGUGAAACGGUGAGAAUGAGUAAAUUGAUAGAGACAACGUUUUAUGUUCAUCUUUUCCUCGAGAUUGAUGACUUAGCGGCGUUAGGGUUUACAGAGAAACGGCGCUAAGGUUUACAGAGAAGAAGCGGCGGCGCUAGGGUUUAGAAGAAGCGGCGGCGCUAGUGUUUAGAGGAAGCGGCGGUGAGAACGUUGGUGACCACGGUGGCGAGGGCGACGGUUUGUUCGGAAAUAGUGGAAGCGGCGGCGCUAGGGUUUAGAGGAAUCGGCGGCGCUAGGGUUUGAAGAAGCUGCGGCGACAACGGUGAGAAUGAAGUGAGAUAGAUAGCCGACGUUGAGAACGAUGGUUUGUUCGGAAAUCGUGGGAAUUCGAAAUCGCCUUUGAGAGAGAACUGUUAGGGUUUCUGAAUUUCGCGAAAAAUGAAACAAAAAAAAUAAAAAUCACCUUAUAUAUUGGGUAAAUAAUCCGGUUAGCUUUAAAAGUACAUUGGUAAACUUUAAGGUUUGGUCCGGUUUAGACGACUUAUUCUGGCUGAUAAUGUACAACAGACGACUUAAUAUUUAGUCGUCUGUUUUCAGACGACAAAAUAUUAAGUCGUCCUAGACCCUAAAAUGAACCCCUAAACUAAAAUGACUAGAUUAACUAACUAACCACGUUAUAAAAUCAAAUUAUACUUAAAUAGUGUUUACUAUACACAGAAAUGAACACGCAUAAGUAAUUUUAAAAAUUUUCAAAAACGGUUUUAAUGCUUUCCAAAAUCUAACCCUAAGAACACAUACAAUACUACAACAUAUGUUGAUGAAACAUAAACUUAAGAAUAUCAUGACUCACUACUUUCACUCAUCUAUGCUGAAAACAAUUGAAAUUUGUUAUAUCUUAAUUUAUACCUCCUAAGACAUAUGUUAAUUACAUAAUUCCCAUUUUUCACUUAUCAAAAUAUUUUUUACAAAAUUUUUAAAUUAUGUUUAAGACUAACUGUCCAGACGACUUUCAGUUAAGUCGUCUGGACGACUUAUUUUCAAGUCGUCUAAACAGACGACUUGCGAGGGGUAGAAACGUUAAAAAAAUUCCGUUUUUUUGUUUGGUCACAAGGGGAUAGUUGUAAUUUCAAUAGCCUUUUAGGUUACUUUUGCCUUUGACCCAAGUUGGGGUAUUGUUUUGGGUUUGACUCCAAGUUUUGAGUCACACUUGGCAAUUCUCCCAGAGAACAAUUGUCUAAACAACCAACAUAGAUCUAUCUUUUUAUCGUCCACUAUAAGCAAUCAUAAUUCUAUUUAUUCUAUUUUUACAUAUAUAGUAAUAGUAAUUUCAAUGACUUUACUCGCAAUCAUUUCCAAAUUGGGAAAUUUACUCAAGACAGUAAAAUAUGACAAGAAAUAAAUAAACUUUCUAUUAUUUAAAAAGUAUUUUGUAUUUUGAUAUUUUAAAUAAAUAAAGAGAAUUAUGAAGCGACAUAACACAUGGAAAGAGAAGCACAAUAAUUCAGAGAAUUUAUAAAAGCAACAAAACCCAACACUUCUUUACAACUUUCCACACCAUCAUAAUAGAGAUACAACAACUUCUCUUGAUUAAUGCAAGAAUCAUAUAGUAUUAUCAAUUGUUAUAUUUCUAAAACUAAAUGAUUGUCCUUACAAAAGCAUUUUGUAAUUGGAAAAGAUAUUGAUGGAGGCACAAUCUGUACACAUGGGGACUCAUGGAAAAGGAUAAGCUCUUUCUGGGUCCCAAAGUCCUCAUCUCAUUUCAAGAGAUAGAGAAGGAAUUUUCCAUAACCAACAAUUAAUUAUCUCUAAAAUAUAUAAUUCCUGUAGUCCUCCACUAACUAAGUAUCAUUAAAGCUAUAUAUAAACAACAAUUUCAAUCAUUCAAGGGAGAAAAACAACAUAAGAGAAACCAAAGCAGAAGAAAAAAGAGUAAAGAUGUCUUCAGAUUACUCACCUUCUUCAUCUCACCAAGAAUAUUCUAUCAACAGCUACCUCUCAAGAAAAUUGCUUCAGCAACUUCCUUUCCAUCACAACAUACAGCAACAACAACAAGCUCGAGGACCAGACAAGAACAACUUGAGCGGCAACAUUCUCCUGCUUCUCUCUAUCCUUGUCUGCGGUAUCAUCUGCUCACUAGGGUUGCAUUACAUAAUCCGUUGCGCGUUUAGACGUUCCACGAGUUUCAUGAUCUCUGAUCCCAUCUCAAUCCCGUCCACGCCACGAGGCUCAGCAGCAGCAAACAAAGGCAUCAAGAAGAAAGUUCUCAAGAUGUUCCCGGUAGUGACUUACUCACCUGAGAUGAACUUGUCAGGGGUCGGCGAAGAGUGUGUCAUUUGCUUGUCUGAUUUUGAAGCUGGAGAACAGAUACGGCUGCUUCCUAAGUGCAACCAUGGGUUCCACGUUCGUUGUAUCGACAAGUGGCUUACACAACAUAUGACUUGUCCGAAAUGCAGACACUGUCUGGUUGAGACAUGUCAAAAGAUCUUAGGAGACUGUGACGAAGCUGAUGAAGUUGCAGAAACAACAACGGAGAGUAUAGAUGUUAUAAUUGAUCCUAUAGAACCUGAAGAAAGAGUCAACACUUUCAGAGAAAGCAGCUAGAGAGUAUGUGCCAAUAAACAACUAGAUUUUCAAGAUUUUAGUUCUUCAACAAGAUUGGAACACAGUUUAUGUCCCUAGCCAGUAGGAUUCCAAAAUCAAACACAAUGGAGCUUUUGUUUGUUUUUCUUUUUGCCUCAAUGCUCAAAAUGUACAGAGAAUAUAUCUUAAGCUUUCCAUGGCAUCAUAACUUCAUCAGACUUUUCUGUGUUAUGGGUGGUAUAUGACUAUUUACAAAUAGCAAUACUCACAUCCAAGGCUAAUAAUAGAAACCGUCAUCUCGGAGGAAAGUUUGAUAAACACUUUCCAUAGAAUUCCUCUGCAUUUUCAUAUCACAUACACAGAAGACGACUAAGUAACACCACUACUUUUGAAGGUCUGAAAAGAAAUGGUUUCAAUGAAGCUCAGAGAGACCAAGGUAUUGCAUGAAGAAGGAAAAUCAAAGACUACAAUGAUGCAACAUAGAUCUGCUCUAAUCAGUUACAAACCUUUCCACAGUAACAUCAUCAUCUAUAUGUCCAAAACCGACCCAUUGUAAGCAUUGUGGGUAAGAAGUAUAUUAAGGAUCUAAUGAUAAAGAAAUCAGCAGCUCUAUGUGUCUGCAAAGCCAUAAUAAGGUAAAACCCAAGCCAUAAUAAGGUAAAACAAAUACACCCAAGUGAGUGGGUAAAAUAAUCAAACAUAAAAGCUACCUUGAGGAAUACUUGUAAUAUAUCAAGCAAGGCACACAUGGUAUGAGACCAUAACUGAAAGCUCCAAUUAAACAAUGUGCUUGCUAGCAGUGUUACAAACUUUAUAAGAUGAACCUAACUUAAGGAUUAACGAGAACCAUUUACAAGACACAAAGGAGAUCCAAUGGUAGCUGUGUAAAAAGAAAGUUAUAAAUAGUAACAUAGAGCUUUAAGCAAAGCCUCCUAGCUGGACCAAAAACUUCAAUCAUAAGCUUUUCAACUUCUUGGAGUAUAAUUGAUACUAGAGGUUCAAUACAGAUAAUCCAGAAACAUGUAAAUAAAAAAUGGAAAAACUCUGUCGACAUCCUGAUGCUCUUUCUUUAAUCUAUUUCACAUCUUGAUGCUCUUUCUUUACUCCACUUUAAUAAUCACGAAGUACAAAGACUAUCAAAUCAAGAAUAUCAACCUACGCAUGCACGAAUAUCACAUGGUACCCCAAGUAACAUAAAGCAAUAAAGGCAAAGUUAAUCACUUUCAUGAAGGGAUAACAAAAUACCACUAUCUGUUCGUACCAGCUACAUGGAACCUAGUAGUGGCAUAAACAAAAGAAGAAGACACAUCAUUUUCAGAUAGGCUUGUAUAGUCUUUAUGUAAUUUUCAGAGUGGGACUGGUGCCAAAGGAUAUAUCUCCCCUGCCUUGCAUCAAUUCGGAAUACAUAAAAAUUCACCCCUAAUCAAUGCAUUGCAUUAUUUGGAUCUAUAUAUAAUUAGUAUAGAUGGAUGUCAUUGCAUAAUUUAGUUGGCAUCAAACAUAAGAUAUACUAAAGUGCUGUUCGUUUCAUUGACGCAGGUUCCUGCGGCUGCGGCUGCGGCUGAGUCUGCGGCUGCGGCUGCGUCUAUUCCUUUGGUUGUUGUUCGUUUUGCAGCCGCAGAUUCAGCCGCAGCCGCAGCCUCAGACGCAACUUGUUGUUCGUUUCUAAGACGCAGGACAUUGCCGCAGCCGCAGCCGCAGACGCAGAAAAUAGAUUUAGUUAUGUUCGUUUGGUUGCCGCAGACGCAAUUUUCAUUUAUUUCAUAUUUUAAUUUUAUGAAUUUUGUGAAUUUAUACAAUUGUAUUUUAAAUAAAUAAAAUGUAGAUUUAAAUUUGUAAAAUUAUAUUUUAAAUAAAUAAAAUGUAGAUUUAAAUUUGUAAUAUUUACAUUCAUCAAAAUAUUAUAAUUAAUUAGUAAUAAAUGAGAGAGCUCGAGCCGGAGAAGAGAGAGCUCGAGCCGGAGAAGAGAGAGCUCGAGCUGAGGUCUGCGUUAGAGAGAGAGAGCACUGGGUUUGCGUUGGAGAUCGAGAGAGAGAGCUCGGAGAUGUGUAGAUCGAGAGAGAGAGAGCUCGGAGAUGUCAGAGAUCGAGAGAGAGAGCUCGGAGAUGUAGGAGCUCGAAGAUGCGUCUAUCGAAGAAAGAUAGAGCGGCUGCGUCAAUGGAGUUAUGUUCUUUUUUGCAAAUAAUUAAUUAGGUCAAGGGUAAAAUCGUAAAUACAGUAAAUAAACGCAGUUUUUUUGACUCAGCCGCGGAUAAUUUCGGCGUCCAGAUUUUGCAGACGCCAGACGCAGCGUUUAGACGCCGCGUCUAGACGCAGUAACCGCGUCAACGAAACGAACAAGAUUUGAAAAAAUAAUUGACGCAGCCGCAGCCGCAGGAACCUGCGUCAAUGAAACGAACAGCACUUAAGACGGAAUAGAGAGAGAGAUCAGUGACAUGAGCCAAGACCCAAGAGGUUUAUUAUCUGAGUGCUGUCUCAAAGAUUAGGGAAAGUUCACGGCUGCUCUAGCUAAAGAACAUGUGUCCCUGUGAGCAACUCUUUUGGGAUUUGAUUUUCCAAAUUUACUGCCACAUGGUUUCCAGAGACAAAUUAGAGACUGAACCUAGACAAAUCAGUAAAUGGUAUGAAAGGCCCACUCAUCUUCAAUAAGAAGUCACACUAAGAUUAUAAAAACUCAGUGGAGAAUCCAUAUAAGAUGCAGACUAAUACAUAAAAAUAAAACGAAACACUUAAAAGAACUUUGUUAAUUUCCCCAGCAUAUUCCAAUAACCACAAUUCAGAAAAAAAAAUUCAAUUAAAAUCAGUUUGCAAUUAUUUAUCAGAAAGUAUAUAUAAAACCUGUACGUUUUCACUAUAUAUAUUAUAUAGAAUCUAGGACAAACCUGGAAGAUCUAUCUAUUACUUCAACCACCUACCACGUCAACGGCCCCAUUUGCAGACGCUCAUGAAGCAUCUCACUCCUAUACACACCAUAUGGGCUUUGAUGCAAAUGUUGUCAUGGUCCUAUUCUAAGCUGUCUGCUGAAGUAGUUCAGCUUGUUAUCAUUCGAAGCUAGUGAUGAGCUUGCAGUUCGCUUGGCCAAUAGUCAACCACCAUAGAGCCUAAAUUAUAAUGUGAUCUGAGCAUGAAAACCACCAUAGAGUCAAAAUCAGACGAUAAAAAAUCAAGUGGUUUUUAAUAUUGAACUAAUCAUAGAAAAGUAUAACGGUAGAUAAAUUAACAACCAUUGUUAGUGUUGACAAUCAAGAUCUCUUCUUCCAAAUCUUUUUCUGGUUUAUAAUUAGUACUGCCCUUAAAGAGACAAACCUUGGAAUGACAGCUAAACAUUGAAAGAACUAAAACUACUGCUUCUGACCUUGCUCCAAAGGCCCGUGGUUUUCAAAACCCAACUAAACAGAGACAUGGACAUAUAGGAUCGGAAAAAUAAUAUCGCAAACAUAUAAGCCAACAUCCAUCCCUCCCUUCUUGUGAAGAUCGAGUUGAAACUCUCGAAGAUCAUAUCUUGGGGCCAACAGAUUUCAGUAGUCUUGGACUCUUGUGCGACUGGACCAGUAGUUGCCAGGUCAUUUUGAGCCUAUUAAUAAAGCCCAAUAAAACAGUAUUAGUCAUCAUUUAUUGCAGACAAAAAAAUACACUCUCCGGUGUGGUGUUUAGAGAAAAAAAAUUUGUUUCAAAAUAACUAUGUUCUCAUUAUUCUAGAUAAAAUUUAAUAUCAUUUAAACUUUGUGACCAAUUACAAAAUAUUAAUUUUUCUUUUAUUGAUUGAAUUAAAUUCAUUUAAUGAUAUUUUUAUGUAAUCAAAAUAAAUUGUAUACAAGUUUGUAUUUUCUUAAUCCAGGUGCAAAAACUUUGAAAAUCGCUUAAAAUGACACAGAGGAGUACUAAUUUGGUUUUAUGGAUUAGUCUGAAUUGAUUUCCCUUAAUCAUAAGUUCAUAACCACCGUCACCUGCCGGUGUAGUGUGUACAUGAUAAUCAAGUGGUUCGUCUCGCCAAAAACAAAUAAUGGUUAGGUUCUUGAUCCUAUUAUUGUCAAGUUUUGAUCCCUGAAAUAAUUCACUAAUUUCUCUUCAAAUAAUAAUUCACCAACUUUAAUAAUUGGACGGUGUCAUUCAUUUUGUAAUAGUACAUCAGACCUCAAAACAGAGGAAAAAUCAGUUUAUUAUUUAAUUGUGGCAUCAACUCUUGUUUGUUUGUUUGUUUGUUUACACCUUAAUUUCUUGUUCAAUUAUUUAUUUUUAUGUUUUAAUGUUAUGUUUUGUUGAUAAACUAAUGAUUGCAUAAAUUAGCAAAACAAAUUUUAUAUUACAUUAUUGGAUGGAUGGAUGCUUCAUGCUCGUAUCCUUUUCUUUCAAAAACGUUAUUUUAGCACACUUGCAAAUUCAUGCUACUGUCUAACAAUAUGAAUAUAAAGUUUAAUAUCAACGGAAACAAUAUAUUUGAUAGACUAAAACUGGAACUUCAUGGUUGAAAAAACUUUAUACCAAAAAACUAUAUUAUUUUUGAUAGGUUUAAAUCAUAUGAAUUUAGAGGUAACAAAUCCAUAUUUUCGAAAAAGCAAAAAAGCUUUAAAGCUUUAUGGGUGGAUUGUGGUGUGCCACUACUAGUAAAGUUGAGAGGGAGAAAAAGCUAGAUCUCUAGAAUAAAUUAAUUACAUUCUAAAUCCAGGAAAAAUAACCUUAAUUGACUUUUCUCUAACAAAAAGACAUGAACGUGGCCUGCCAUAUAUAUGGAACUUUAUAAUAUAAAACUUGAACAUGGCCUGCCUCAUAUAAUAAAUAGUGAGAAUCAAAUGUAAUCAUACUAGUAGCGAUGAAAAUCAGAAGUAGUUUCGUAAUGAUGGACCCAACGUUUUCGUAGGUGCCAGCUUAACCUUCCCACAUUCUUUUCCCAAUUCGAUUGUACUCGGCACGUGCGAUUCAAGUUGAUCAAAAAGUUGACUUUUAAUUUUCAUCUCUUAACAAAAAAUAAGAGUAUGGCAUCAUAGUUGUUCUUAUUUUUUGGGGUUGAACAUGAUCAGGUUUGUAAUGUCCUUGCUAAUAUUUUAACUUGCUAUUUCCCAAGAUGAUUUGAUAUUUAUAACUAUCAAUCUAUCAUAUACUCGGCUUGUAACCUAGCUAACUAGGUGGGGUUCAAUACAUGUACUCGGUUUUCUCCUUUCGUAGCCUAACUAGGUGGUCACCAUUCACCACUUUUAUUAAAUCAAAUCCAUAAUUUUGAAGUGCAUGUACUUAAAUCUAUUCCAGGAUAUGAAAGCUAAGAACGACUGAAAGCCCAUGCACAUUAUUUAUAUCAUGUAAGAGAGUUUUGAGUUAGAAGUACAUGGCACAAGAAAAUGGCUAGACUCAAUGUAAUUUGGUGUCUCAACUCAACAUAUACCUAUAUUAUUAUUAUAUAAGUUAUAUACCAAAGAUCAAGUUAUACAAAAUAGCAAUAUUAAUCCACAACUACUUUGACGACUUAGUAGCCACUAUUUAAUACAUUAAUCACGAAUACGAUGGAAUAUAAAUAAUAAUCGACAUAACACAUCAUGAAAAUCACAUUCUUUCACGGUCUGAUCUAUUACUUAUUCCUACUUUAAAUGAUUCAACACGAUUCUAAUCCUAAUAGAAAAUGAAAUUAAUUAAGUUGAAUUUUGUGAAAAUCUAAAUUGAACAAGCCAACCACGACCAUCGUUGCCUGUAUUGACUCGGUUAAGUUAACACUAGCUAAAAGUAUUAAAAAAAUGGAGCUGUCAUUUUACGCUGAGCCGAUCACAGACAAAGCCAUCUCAGCAAAAACAAAUUAGGCUUUAAUUAAUCCAACGGCUGAUAUCAUUAAUUAAUUUUAAAAGGGAGAAUUAAACAGUAAAGGCUGUCUGACAGCCAGGUCACGUUAUCUUUUCCUGUGGUCGAUAUGAUUCGUCUAUUUUUUAAUUUGAAAGGCGGAAAAGAAAGAUAAAGCCGCCUAUAUAAAUUCAACUCAUUUCUCCUUCUUUGAAUCGUCUCGUCGUCCUCACAGUUUCAUCGGCCGUUGACUAUCUCCGGCGGGAAGAGAGAGAGAGAGAGAGAGAGAGAAUCGUAUCGGUUUCUUGUUUCUUAUUUCUUCUUCGGAUCUUUCUCGUCCAAGGUAAAGAAAACUUUCUAUGUUGGAUCUAUACGUUGUUAUGAGCCUCGUAGAGAUCUGGAAUUGAUUAGAUUUGGAUCUACGAGCUACUAAUUCGGAGAAUCAAGUUCAGUUGACCGAUCAUCUUUAGCUCGAUUAGUGAUCUUGGAUCUCAAUAGUGAUAGAGAGAUCCGUAUUCAGAAUUUCAGAUUCACUGUUUUGUGCAGAUGAUUGUUAGAAUAGAGAUCUGAACUGUUAAGGGUUAGAUGAAGCUUGAGCAGUAGAAGCUAAAAAUGAACCGUCACGUUAUGUGUUAUUGAAGUUGCAAGAUUACCUUAUCGAUUUGGGGAUUUUGUACUCUUCAUAUACGUUCAAUAUAGAAAGCUAUUCUCAGAGAUAUAUAUUUCUAUGUAUUUUAAUUGAUUUGUAAAUCUUUAACUAAAAUUUACUUAGGUAUAAAUCUGAUAUUUUAGUUAAUAUUUAUGAUGUUUUAACUCGAAUUUUUUUUAUUUUUGUAUUUUUAGCAAAUACUUUUUUUCCAAAUCUACUUAAAAUCCAUUGUGAAAUCAAAUUCAUUAAUAAAUCCACCUGAUUUAAAUUAGGAUUUAUAAAUUAUGAUAUCAAUAACUCUGAAUUUCGUUUGGAUUUACAAAUAUAUUACUACACAAAUCAAUAGCCCCUAAAGUGAUUUGAUUUCGAUUUGAUCUUUUUUUUUUUUUUUUUUUUUGUUGUUUAUUUNNNNNNNNNNNNNNNNUUUUUUUUUUUUUUUUUUUUUGUCGAUGGUUAAUUAUACUAUUACAAGAAAUAUUACAAAACGAUUUGAUCUAAUUUUAUUUAACAGUAUCCAACUUGUUACGUUCUUUGCAGCUUAUUAAAAAUGGCUGAAGCUGAUGAUAUUCAACCCAUCGUCUGUGACAAUGGUACCGGAAUGGUCAAGGUUAGUUACUUGUCUCUUUACUCAUUAUCAGAUCUGUGGAAUGUUCUCUUUUGAUGGCUUUAUAAUUUCUGUGUACAGGCUGGUUUUGCCGGUGAUGAUGCUCCCAGGGCUGUUUUCCCUAGUGUUGUUGGUAGGCCAAGGCAUCAUGGUGUCAUGGUUGGGAUGAACCAGAAGGACGCCUACGUUGGUGACGAAGCCCAGUCCAAGAGAGGUAUUCUCACCUUGAAGUACCCUAUCGAGCAUGGUGUUGUGAGCAACUGGGACGACAUGGAGAAGAUCUGGCAUCACACUUUCUACAACGAGCUCCGUAUUGCUCCUGAAGAGCACCCGGUUCUUCUUACCGAGGCUCCUCUUAACCCAAAGGCCAACAGAGAGAAGAUGACCCAGAUCAUGUUCGAGACCUUCAACUCUCCAGCUAUGUAUGUCGCUAUCCAAGCUGUUCUCUCCCUCUACGCCAGUGGUCGUACUACUGGUAUUGUGCUGGAUUCUGGUGAUGGUGUGUCUCACACUGUCCCAAUCUACGAGGGUUUCUCUCUUCCACACGCCAUCCUCCGUCUCGACCUCGCUGGUCGUGACCUCACUGAUUACCUCAUGAAGAUCCUCACCGAGAGAGGUUACAUGUUCACCACGACAGCAGAGCGGGAAAUUGUAAGAGACAUCAAGGAGAAGCUCUCCUUUGUCGCUGUCGACUACGAGCAGGAGAUGGAGACUUCCAAAACCAGCUCCUCCAUCGAGAAGAACUACGAGUUACCCGACGGGCAAGUGAUCACAAUCGGUGCCGAGAGAUUCAGGUGCCCAGAGGUUCUGUUCCAGCCGUCGUUUGUGGGAAUGGAAGCUGCUGGAAUCCACGAGACGACUUACAACUCGAUCAUGAAGUGUGACGUGGAUAUCAGGAAGGACUUGUACGGUAACAUUGUGCUCAGUGGUGGAACCACUAUGUUCUCGGGUAUUGCGGACCGUAUGAGCAAAGAGAUCACAGCACUUGCACCAAGCAGCAUGAAGAUUAAGGUCGUUGCGCCUCCGGAGAGGAAGUACAGUGUCUGGAUCGGUGGUUCCAUUCUUGCUUCCCUCAGCACAUUCCAGCAGGUACAUGAUUAUUCAAUUUAUCCAUCUGCAGAUUUAACUAAAGGUGCUGAUUAUUUUAUAUGAUUGUUCUUGAAUAGAUGUGGAUCUCAAAGGCUGAGUAUGAUGAGGCAGGUCCAGGGAUUGUUCACAGGAAAUGUUUCUAAGCUCUUAAGGGAAAGGCUACAAGCUGGGUAUUAUGAAUGGGAUCAAAGUUUCUUUUUUUUUGUUUAUAUUUGCUUCUCCAUUUGUUUGUUUCAUUUGCUUCUUUUUUGUUAUCGUUUCUAUACACACGUGUGUGACAAAACUCUCUGGGUUUUACUUUACGUCUGCGUUUCAAGAAACUGCUUUCGUUUUGCGUUUAAGUCCCAUUGUUUUGUAGCUCGAGUGCCUCUAUUUUUCUGUAAUUUCUUUUUCAAAAACUGGAAAGAAGAAGCUUGAUAUACUCUUUGCAUUUGUUAAUAUACGUAUUGAAUUGAGAUAUGAUUUUAUUGAUUGUUGCCUUUAAAAGAUCAAAAGGUGGACACUUUAAGAUUGAUUCAAUCUGGGGUUGUUCACAUCAAAUGUCUCACUUGUGGAAUCUGAAGUUAGAAAAGAUGAGCAGAUACAUUUUAGCAUUAAUAAUCAUCAGUUAAAUCACAAUCAAAAGUUUUAAUUUUUUCUCCACAAAACAGAAACAUUCAGACAUAAAACACAAAUGUAGCCAACGGUCAGAAUCUGACAUAAAACAAGAGUUGUAAAACAAUGUCACAGGAAACAGAACACAGCGAAGUUGAUUUGUUUUGAAACUAACAGCUAAAUCAAAGCAAUUGUUUUGUUGUUUUUGUUAGCUCCUCCACUUCCUCCUCCUGUAUGAAUCUCCUCACUGCUCGAGGAAGACGGGUCAAGCCCGUACUCACUCGUGUUCCCAUACUCACUGGUUGCACCGUACUCAUGGCUAUCCAUCGCCACUUUCCUGAACUUCCUCAUAUCCGCACUGUAAGUGCUCGAGUCAUAGUCCGAGCUCGAUCCCCUCCCUAAGCUCUGUCCAGGUUUCACUUCGUUUAGAUCCUCCAGCGAUGCAUCUCCCUCCAGAGCCCGCACAAUCUGUUUAGAAUCAUUGAGCAACUCAGUAAAGGAUAGGAGUCCCAUUAGUAGUAUGAUUCAUGUUUUCGUAAAGACUUACUUGGCUCAUCUUAGGCCUGCGUCUAGCUGAGUGUCUGAUGGCUGCAGCGGCACAAGCCACCAUUCUUGCCAUCUCAUAAGGCUCGUAUUGGCCCUCGAGCCGUGGAUCAACUAGUUCACUGUAGUCGCCAUCUUGAGCUGCGUUUAAGCAUAAGGGUCUUGCCUGUGUAAGAAAGUAACAUAGGUUUUUAAUAAAUCAUUUACUUAUGCCACAAAAAAUUUAUGAUGAUUAUAUAUAUGGUACUGACCCAAUCAACCAAACUGUCUUCCAUUUCACCAGUAAGAUCAACAGGUCUGCGUCCGGUUAUGAGCUCAAGAAGCAUCACUCCAAAGGAGAAAACAUCUGAUCUGUCUGUUAGUUUCCCGCUUGACGCAUACUCUGGAGCCAAGUACCUGUCAUUUGAUUCAGAAUACGAGAUUAAUUCUUGAUUAGAAAUCAAGAACAGCUUUCAUCAGUUAGUUUCACGUUUCUUUAUUACCCAAAAGUUCCCAUGAUACGAGUGGACACAUGUGUAACGUUGUCUUGAGAUAGCUUCGCUAACCCGAAGUCUGCAACCUGAAAGCAUAAGCCAGUCCAGUUAUCAAGACACAUCAAAAGAAUCUGAAAGCAUUGUGAAAGCAAACCUACCUUGGCUUCAAAGGAUUCAUCAAGAAGAAUGUUUGAAGCUUUGAUGUCUCUAUGAAUGAUUUUUGGAUGACCUGAUUACAUCAAAUUCAAGAAAAUGAUCACAUCUCUAGUUAAACCUCAAUAGAAUCAAAUAAUUAAGAUUUUUGUUUUUGACUCACAAUCUUCAUGUAAGUAAGCAAGUCCUUUAGCUGAUCCCAAAGCAAUCCUGAGCCUUGUAGGCCAAUCAAGAACAUUACCACUUUUACCAUGGAGAUGAAACUCAAGUGUGUCAUUAGGCAAGAACUCAUAAACCAACAACAUCUUCUGUCCUUCCGCAAUACAAUAACCAACAAGAGACACAAGAAACCGAUGGUGAACUCGACUAAUGAUGUCCACCUCUGCCUGAAACUCUCUCUCUCCUUGUCCGCUUCCUGCUUUAAGACUCUUCACAGCUAUCUCUUUCCCAUUGGGAAGUAUUCCCUUGUGAACGUACCCGAACCCGCCUUGCCCUAACAGUCUUGCUUGAGAGAAGUUUUGAGUUGCUGCAGCUAGCUCCUCGUAGGUGAAUGUGCUCUGGUUGAAACCUAGAGCCACUGAAGGGUGAGGCGGUGGUAGAGCCGGACCAUAUGGACCUGAGUAUAUUUCGCUGCUGUUUCCGUUGUUUAUGCCGCCUGAAACUGGCUGUGCUGGUGGUGGCGGCGGUGAAUUCAUCCAGUUAUUGUUACUGUUUGAUCCGGGGUGUUGAUGAGACAAGUUCAUAACGUGAUCGCUUUGGUUAUUGUAAUGUUGUUGUUGGUAUUGAUCACCUAUCAACAAAACAAAGAGACUUUGUUUACCCUAUUUCUUGGAUAACAAGUAAUGGAGUUUUCACAAAAUGUAGAUAUAUUCAGAAACAUAUACUUGAUCAAAAGAUUAUGAAACUGACUUUUGAAACGUGGUAUGAAGGUCAGAAGGUAAGAAGAUUUCAUUAAGUUAGGUUAUCAUUUCAGGACUCUUGGAACACAAGAAAUGGUUCUAAAACAUAUUAUGGUUUAGGUUUAGGUUCGUGACUUAACUUUGCCUGUGGCGAACCCAUUGCUUGCGCAGUACGGCAUUUGUUUUAACCUUAUUUCUUGGCUAACAAGAAACAUCUAAUGGUGUUUUGAACAAACAUACAAAAUAUUCAUAAAUCAAGCCUCGGCUUGGUCAAAAGAUUAUGAAACUCCUAAACUUUGAAAUGUGGUUUGAAGGUAAGAAGAUUUCACUGAGUUAGGUUAUUAAAUUAGUUAUCUUGGCAUACAAGAAAUGGUUCUAAAACAGAAACUAGGUUAGGUUUAGGGUUAGGGAUAAGGUUUGUGACUUGGUGUUUGGCCAUUUAUGUUUUUACCUUUGCCGGUGGCGUACCCAUUGCUUGCGUAGUACGGCAUUUGAUUCUUUUUUUUCUUCUUACGACAGCAACAGACGCAGAACAAGAUCAUAACAAGAAGCAACAAUCCAGCACCAGCCGCAAUUCCUAUGAUAGCACCCGUGUUCGGUGCAUCGCCACUACCGCUUGAUCUAGGCGGAGCCAGGGAUCUCGGUGGCGACGGAGAGUUACGGUCGGAGUUUCUUGAAGGAGGAGCAGGCGAAUGAUUGUUGCUUCCUCCGCCGUUGUUUCCGUUGUUAUUAUUCCCAUUGUUGUUAUUACCAUUGUUGCCAUUAUUGCUGUUAUUACCAUUGUUUCCAUUAUUGUUGUUAUUACCAUUGUUGUUGUUGUUGCCAUCAUUGUUUCCACCAUUGUUUCCAUCAUUGUUUCCACCAUUGUUGCCAUCAUUGUUACUAUUACCAUUGCUGUUGUUGUUGUCAUUGUUUUCACCGUUGUUGUUGUUGUUGUUAUUGUUUUCUUGUUGUGGCGAUGGUGGAGGUUGUGAGUCUGAAGAAGGAGGUGGAGGAGAGGAUGAGGAAUUAUCUGGAGGAGGAGGAGCUGGUGGUGAAGAUGAAGGAGAGGAGGAGGAGGAGGAGUCAGGAGACGGAGGAGAUUGCUGUUGAGUGUUGUCGGGGGAGGAAGGAGAUGGAGGUGUAGGAGACGGCGGUGAAUUCUCCGGGGACUGCCCCUCCGCCAUAAUCUCUUUUGGGUGUUUUUUCUUCUUCUUCUUUUAUUUAUUUUCCUGAAGCUCUCUCCUUAAGAUUUUCUUAAGAGAGAGAGGUUCAAAACCUCUUUCUGUAUUCCAAGUUCUAUUUUUAAAGAGUCAUGUCAUUUUUUGUUCUGAAUUGCUGAUUUCUUCUUUUGUAGGGUCUAUAUUUGGUUACUAAUACAGCCAUGCAAAUUAUGCAACAUUUAACUAAAUUGUUUAAAAAGAGAGAAAUUACAGUGAAGAACUAUAUGUGAUUAUUAAAUAUAAGAUGAUUGUUUUACAAAGAAUGAACACAUAGAUAAAUCAGUGAAAAUAACAUUAAUAGCUGGUAAACGCAAGGAAUAUUUUUUACAAAAAGUGAAAAGAAGCUUAUAGAAGAGAUGAAUGAUAUGUUUAAUGGAAAUGCUCUCUCAUCAAAAAGUCCUCUGCCUGCUUUCAUCAAUCCUCCAUUGUUGAAGCUUCGUUCUCCGAUUCCGUUUGCUCUCUCAGGACCGGAAUCGGGUUUAGUUGUUUUGAAUCAUCUCUUUUUGGGUUUCAAUCGGUUUAGAUCUUCAUAUUAUGUUCUCAUUUUUCUCUACGGUCGGAUUUCCAGAUUUUAGAUCUGAUCCUAACAGGAGGAAUGAGAGUUUCUAUAUGUUGAUCUUUGUGUGUGUUAUCGAUCGAUCUAGUCAAAAUGGGUUGGUCUCGUCUUGAACCUGAUUUUGUUUUGAAUGAUUUGCAUGUUGGCUUUAAACUCUCUUUGGCUCAUUUUGGGUCUUGAUCUUCAGCCUUCUUGAUAUCUUGAGCAAGGUUUGAACCAGUUUAUGAGUUGUCUCGCUCCUUGUCAUUUACUAAAAGAUUUGAUCGAGUUCUUCUAUCCCGUCAAGCUUCAAUAUGGCGUCUCUCGGGUCUAUCGCCACCGCCAUCGUACUUAUGACCUUGAGUUGUUCUGUCUCCUGGAUCUUGAAGCUUUGGUCUCUAAAUCGCAUAGGCUAUUCUCUAUAGGAGGAGUCGCAAGUCAGAGAUUUUAGCUAUGGAUAGCAUCCUCGCGUUGUCUGGUUCAAAAGUGCUCAGUUGAAGUCUUCAUGCUUUAUUAUUCUCUGGUUUGUAAAAGUUCUUUUGUUUUGUUCCUCACUUCUUCUAGUUUAGAUCGGUUUAGUAAUAAGGUUUGAUUAAUGUUCUUGGUUUUAGUCUUCCAGUGUUUAGGACUAAAUCUCUCCAAUCUUGGAGCUUUCGUCUCCAGAGGUUUGUAAGACAUGCCGGCUUAUGUAUUCCAAAAUGAAUUCUCCCCCUUGUAAUCUUCUUUGUUAGUAUAAUUAGUGUUUAAGAAAAAAAGAAGAGAUGAAUUGAUUGUUUUACAAAGAAGGAACACAGAUAAAUCAGUGAAUAACACGUGAAAAUAACAAUAACUAGCCUUUGGGACGCGCGGAUAUUUGUUCUUCAUAAUGAUAUAUUUUUAACUUUUGGCAAUGCUAUAAACUUAAUAGUUUAGAUGUUCUUAUUACAAACUUAUACGUUAUUCAGUUUUGACAGUAGUGUGUCUUGUUCAAUGCGUUUAGUUUCCAUUUUUAAACUAUGGCAUUGUGUUUUUUUAUUGUGCUUUUAUUCAUUUUAUUUGGUAAAGUAAACAUUAAAGUCUAAAAUAUUAGAGUUUUAAGUAUAUUUGUGGGUUUUAUUCAGUUUAUUCAUUUCAUUUACUUUUUGAAAAAUAUACAAAGUAUAUGUAUAAUGUUUAGAAAAGGUAUUUAUAGAAUUUACAAAGUGUAUGUAUAAGGUUUAUAAAACACAUAUAAUAUACAAACUGUAUGUAUAAGGUUUAGAAAAGGUAUCCAAGUUAUUUCCAUUUCCUAUUAUCGAUUCCAUUAUUAAUUAUUGUAUAUUAUAGCAUGUUUCUAAAUAUUGUUUCUAUUAGUAUUGGAAUAUUCUAAUUUCUUUUUAUUUAUAUAUUAGAUUUUCUUGUGAUAAGUAAAAGAUUGUAAUCUUUUACGUUUAAGGUAUAGCUAAAUUUUAGGAAUCCGAUAGUUAUACACUAACCAUGUUAAAAAUAUUAGGAACAAUCUUAGAAAGUAAAGAAUAUUGUUAGUAUUCUAAUCGUAAAAAAAAAUACCAAGAAAAGGUUUUCUUUUCGAUCAAUAAUAUUCAGGAAAAAAAUAUCCAAAAAAAUUCAAGAAAAAAAAACAAUAAACAAACAAUCUUAACUCGUUACCAUCGUAAAAAGACUUCAAAGCAAUAUCAGCAUUCAUAAACAGAAGCAGGAGCACCAUUCAUUAGAAAACUAAUGGUUAAUACAUAUAAAUAAAGAGCUACUAUCAAAGCUAAGAGCAGGUCCAUUGGGAAUGCCUAACAACAGGCUCAUAAGAAAAGGUGAUUAAAAAUAAAUGAAAAAGGCCAAAAAACUUUAGAACCGCUGUCUUAUUUGGGCUUUUUAGAGCAGCUAGGAAGCCCUUACCUGGCGGCUUGUGAUUCGACCGCAAAUCAAAUGCUCUCUCUCUCAUUCGUGGCGACAAAGCCGAAUGGCUUUUGUUUUGCAUUCUCGAAUUCUCCGUCUUCUCUCUUGAAUUUCUUCGUAUCUGUCGAUUUUCGUCGACUCUGUCGUCCCCGCGAUCGUCGUUUGUCUCGUCAUCUCUCUCGUCUCGAAGCUCGCCUUCUCUGUCGUCGUCUCUCUCGCCGUGUUGGUCGCCGUCUGUCUCGUCUCGAUUCUCGUAGUCUCUCUUGCCGUCUGUAUCGUCGUCUCUCUCGUGUUGAAUCUCGCCGUCUCUCUCAUCGUCUCUCUCGCCGUCUCUCUGGCCAUCUCUCUCGUCGUCUCUCUCGCCAUCUCUCUGGCCGUCUGUCUCGUCUCGAUUCUCGUCGUCUCUCUCACCGUCUGUCUCGUGUCGAUUCUCGUCGUCUCUCUCGAAUCUGGUCUGAAAUCUCGUCUCGGUCUCCUUAUCGGUAAGAAAUCAUCCUUUUGAUUUGUUCUGAAAUCUCACACUCUCUGUUCGUGAUCCCUUGUCUUUUGAAAAAGAACUUUUAUUAAAAGAUGAUAACAGUGGUGGUUUAUUUGAUAAUAUUGAGGAAGGUGAAAUCUAUUAGAUUGGUAGUAGAGUUUUGUUUGACUGUUGAAAAUAUUGAAUCCUUUGCAUAGAAACAGAGUCGGUUGGUUUGUUAUAACAAGUGUUGAUGAUGAAUUUUAGGAAGAACUGUCUCUAUUAGUCUGGAAGAAGAGUCGAUUGUGUUUCACAUUAUCACACCAAGCUGUUCUUGUCUUUAUUUUCAUAUGAUUUUGUGUUCGGUUAUCUGUGUAAAUAUUUGAUUGAUCAAGGUUUAUUACUUUGCUUAUAUAAUUCUAUUUUUGUUGGUUGUGUGAGGAGUGGUGAUCAUCAAGAAGCGGGAGCCGACAGUUGGGGAGUUUCCUUUCAUUCAUUACGGAUUCAACAUGGCCAGAAGAUCCAUCUUUCACUUCAAUCAGCAAGAGGUUAGCAGACUUGUCUUUAAUGCUUUGUUAGAGCUUCAUUAGGUUUGGAAAUUAAAUGGUAUUGGUUAGAGCUUGAUUAGGUUUGAAAAUUAAAUGGUAUCUGUUAGUUGUGUGGAUGUGAUUUGCUUUUGUUGUCGUGUUUCUUUUAGUUGUAGUUUCUUUUAGUUGUAGGUAUGAACAUUGAUUGCCAUUAACACACAAAGUAAGUAACUUCAACAACUAAAAAUUUUAAGUUUCCUUUAAAAUCUGAACAAUACUCCUAAACAACAACAUGUAAAACAAUCAAUUACUUCUCCUUUUCCACUUCCUUACAACGUUCCUAUUUCCUUUGAAUCCUUAAACAAUUUUAUGGAUUCAUAUACUCAACCUUCUAGCUUUAUGGAUCUCUUAAACCAUCAACAACCAAACACUCAACCUAGUGAAGAUAUCUCUGCGUCGAAUGUCUCUUUGUUCGGUCCUUGGUCUGAAGAAGAAAACGUUGAAGCCCACACUGUGGAGGACAGUAAAGAGAGAAGGAAGUGAACUCCAACAGAGGAUCAGGUGCUCAUCAGUGCUUGGUUGAACACCUCCAAAGACCCUGUGGUUGGGAAUGAGCAAAAAGCCAUUGCGUUUUGGAAACGCAUUGCAGCUUAUUUUGCUGCAAGUCCCAAGCUAUCUGGUUUGCAAACGAGAGAGCCUACUCAUUGCAAACAAAGGUGGGGGAAGAUCAAUGAGGGCGUCUGCAAGUUCGUUGGCUGCUAUGUUGCGGCAACAAAAGAGAAAUCAAGUUGCCAGAACGAGAAUGAUGUAAUGAAACUGGCUCAUGAGAUUUACUUCAAUGACUACAAGGCGAAGUUUACCCUUGAGCACGCAUGGUUGGAGCUGCGACACGAUCAAAAAUGGUGUGGCGCAUCUACAACUAAAGAUAAGGUGCAGUCAAAAAGGAGGAAGUUAGAUGAGCACUCUGCACAAUCAUCAACUUCUGUGGCUGGAGAGGAUGAUCAAUCCAAGCGCCUUAUUGGAGUUAAAGCGGAAAAGGCGAAAGGAAAAAGGGCUGUGAGCAAUGCAACGAAGUUGGAUGAGGAAGAAAAGGAGUUGCAGAGCAUCUGGGGUAUUAGACAGAAGGACUUUGCUUUGAAAGAUACUCUUAACAAGCAAAAAGAUACUCUUAACAAACAAAAUUGCUUGACUCUCUAAUUGCAAAGACUGUGCCAUUAACUGAACUCGAACUUGCCUUAAAAAACAAACUUAUUAAAGAUAUGUUGAGUCUUUAGUUGCGUCUGUAUGAUCUGGAUUUAACAAGUAAAAAUUGUUUGUGUCGAGUCUUUAGUUGUGUUUUAGUUGUCUCUGUGAGCUGUUUGUGUCGAGUUUGUAAGAUAAUUGCCUUAUCUUAAUGUAAAAUAGCUGUUUAAUGUUGUAAGAUUAAUGAUGUUUCUUAUCAUGCUGGUUAAUGUAUAAUAUUGUCCAUCUAUCCGUUAGUUUUGUUUCUUAUCAUGCUAUCUCUCUUUCAGUUUUGUUUCUUAUCAUGCUGUUUCUCAUGUGAUAGGCCAAGCUAAGACGUAAAGAGAGAGACAUGUGACACAAAGAAACAAAGAUGCCAACCAAGCCAAGACGUAAAGAGAGAGACAUGUGACACAAAGAAACAAAGAUAAGAAAGGCAAGACGUAAAGACAGAAACAUGUGACACAAAGAAACAAAGAUGCCAAGUCUUCUUUAUAAACUUUGCCAAGCCGUGGAGCGGACAACAAGUCUUCUUUAUAAACUUUGCCAAUUCUUUAAAAGUGUAUAAUAACAAGUCUUCUUCUCUCUUACCAUAUCACAAGAAACUUUUCCAAAUCUCUUCCGAAACAACACACCUCUCUUACAAUAUCACUACAAACAAGUCUUCUUCUCUCUUACCAUAUCACUACAAACAAGUCUUCUCUUCUCUUACCAUAUCAAUACAACACUUACCUUUUCUUCUAAAUGGCUUCUUCUUCUAAUAAUUUUAAAGACACUAAUAAUUUUGAAGACACGAUGGACGAGAGAUUCGACGAAAUUUUCGAUCAACGAUUCGAAAAUCUACUUAUUCAUAAAAAAGCUCAACAAGAAGCGUCAAGGUCAAAAAAGAAACGAGCCUACAUUGAAAGACAACGAGAACAAGGACACACGCAGUUAUGGAACGAUUAUUUUAGUGAAGAUGCAACAUAUCCGUCUCACAUGUUUCGUCGCCGUUUUCGAAUGAACAAGCCCUUGUUCAUGCGUAUUGUUGAUAGACUCUCUGCUGAAAUCCCAUACUUUCAACAAAGAAGAGAUGCUACUGGAAGGUUCGGUCACUCUCCGUUACAAAAGGCAACGGCAGCUAUCCGUAUGAUGGCGUAUGGUUGCCCAGCUGAUGCCGUCGACGAAUACCUCCGACUUGGUGAGACCACCGCGCUUUUAUGCUUGGAACAUUUUGUUCAAGGAAUCAUAAAUAUAUUUGGAGAUGAGUAUCUAAGAAGACCCACGCCAGAAGAUCUUCAACGACUACUCGAUAUUGGAGAGAUACGCGGAUUUCCCGGGAUGAUAGGAAGCAUCGAUUGUAUGCAUUGGGAGUGGAAGAAUUGUCCGACCGCAUGGAAAGGUCAAUAUACACGUGGAUCAGGAAAGCCAACCAUUGUUUUAGAGGCUGUAGCUUCACAAGAUCUCUGGAUAUGACACGCGUUUUUCGGACCACCAGGUACAUUACACGAUAUCAAUAUUCUUGAUCGAUCACCGGUUUUUGAUGAUAUAUUACAAGGUCGAGCUCCAAAAGUUAACUACAUAGUCAACGGAAACGAGUACCAUUUGGCUUACUAUCUCACAGAUGAUAUUUAUCCAAAAUGGGCUACUUUUGUCCAAUCUAUUCCACUUCCGCAAGGUCCAAAAGCAUCCUUAUUCGCUACAGAUCAAGAAGCUGUACGUAAAGAUGUCGAGCUUGCUUUUGGGGUCUUGCUAGCUCGAUUUGCCAUAGUCAAAAAUCCAGCUCUUUUGUGGGAUAAAAUAAAAAUUGGCAAGAUAAUGAGAGCAUGUAUCAUUCUACAUAAUAUGAUCGUAGAAGACGAACGAGAUGGCUACACUAAGUUUGAUGUAUCAGUUUUCGCACAACCGGAAUCAAACCGAAGUUCCCAAGUGGAUUUCACGUAUUCGACAGAUAUGCCUUCAAAUCUCGGGAAUAUGAUGAGCAUUCGGAAUCGAGUUCGUGAUUUAACAAUACAUCACCAGUUGAAAGCUGAUUUGGUUGAGCAUAUUUGACAAAAAUUUGGAAUAAAUCAAGAUUUCGACUAAUCGGCUUUUUCUCGUUUACGAUUUGUAUUUGUAUUUUUCAUAUGUUUUAUGUAAUUUUUAUUAAAAAUUUUAUGUAUGUUUUUAUUUUAAAUCAUUCUAAUUUAUGUUUUUAUUUUAAAUCAUUCUAAUUAAACAAAAUUUUUUUAAAAAAAAAUUAAGAACCCCUAUGGUUCUCCCAUUGGAGAAAGCAAAAAUUAAUUCCAAUAACCAAGGUUUUUAACUUAUCAAAUCACCUUAAAACCAACUAAUUUAAUCAUUAGAACCCAUUAGGGGUUCUAAUUAUGGGUUCUAAUGGAAGGAGUUGGUCUAAGUGUCUUCACAUCCAAGCCUCAAAUAUCGAAAAAAAAAAAAAAAAAGAAAACGGANNNNNNNNNNNNNNNNAAAUAUCGAAAAAAAAAAAAAAAAGAGAGAUCGAUGUGACGUGGUGAUGCAGAACUAGCCAAGAGCCUAAACUGAUAAAGCCAAACAUUACGAUACAAAAAUGAUGAAUCCUUUCUUCAUUGUGUUUAAAAAAAACAAUCCUUUCUUCAUAAAAAUUACAAAUUUGACAAAAUAAUUUGCAUCUACCAACAACCCAUGAAUUUAGAGAAGACAGUAAUUGGAACACGUUAUUUUAAGUUCAAUUGGUUUUGUAAUUAUUUAAAGUUAAUUCUAUCAAUUUAAUUUGGCUGGUUUAAUAAUUAGAAUCAGUGGCAUGAGAUGGUAAUUCUUUAGGAAAAAUUAGGAUUAUUUUAUUUUUAAAAAAAGAGAUGUAUUAUCAUGUAUUGCUCUCGUUGAGAGUCGAACUCAAGACCUCCCGCUUACUAAACGGGUGCUCUAACCAACUGAGCUACGAGAGAUUUCUGACCAUCAAAAUCAUAAUAUAUUUAACAAACAGCACAUGUAUUGAAAAUAAGAGGAACAUAAUAAGUAGGAUAUUCUGUGUUUAUACAAAAUAAUAGUCGCCUUAAGGAAUUACAAUACAGAUCAGGAACAGCUUCAGGGGGCAGAGAUCGUAGAAUCUCUCCGUUGAUCAUUUGCGAUUCAGAUGCCUUCCCGUAGACGUACCCUCCUCAAAGUCAUCAUCCUCGGCGAUAGCGGGUUAGCCAUCUCCAAAAACCCUCUCUUUUUAAAUGUAUUGAUUUGUUCGGAUGAGUAAUUGUUAUGUCUAGGGAUUUGAGAUUUAAGCAGGAUUUUAACUAAUUCCUUUCCUCCGGUUUAGAUAUGGUCGGUGCAUCUCUUAGUUUGGCUGCUGAGUAUGGUGGUUUUACAUAUGUGUUGUUGUUGCUUUCUUUUGCUAAAGUUGAGAACUUGACUUGACCCCCCCCCCCCUCAGUNNNNNNNNNNNNNNNNNNNNNNUUGCCCCCCCCCCCUUGACUUUGCUUUAACACGAUUUUAGUCUAUAGAUUGUCUUUAGCUUAAUAUCAUGUGUUUGAUUCUUGCUUGCUUGCUUCUUCUCCAACAACAUGUAGUUCAAAACUCUUAUGAUCCUAGGCUUGGUCUGUCUUGACUCCUCUCACUUGUGUUAUUUUGCAGGGUGGGGAAAACCUCUUUGAUGAAUCAGUAUCCUUCUUUUGCUUGAAUGGAGUAAUCACUAACAAUUAUAUGUUGUACUAGUUUUAUACAUAUGUAAGAACUUUUAGUUUACGCUUUUUGUUUUUGGGCUUAACUCGAUAAACUUUUUUAGAUAUGUUAAUAAAAAGUUCAGCAACCAGUACAAGGCCACCAUUGGAGCUGACUUCUUGACUAAGGAAGUCCACUUUGAAGAUCGCCUUUUCACUUUACAGGUUCUUACUAGUCUACUCUCGCUAUCAGUUAACUACUUCUUUUCUUGUUUAAGUAAGCUCAACGUAGUGGUGCUGUAUUUGUAUUCAAUAGAGAGUUUAUGGUAGUUUCAGCCAUUUUUUUAGUUGUUAGCUUAAUAGCUCUUCUUGAUAAGUAUCUCCCAUGAUAAAAAACAAACAAGGAUAGCUCUAAGUUGUUGGUCAGGCAUUCACAUUUGUGGGAGCUUACCCUCAACAAAUCUCUCACUUGUUUCUGUCUUUUCUGUGGGUUUUUACAGAUCUGGGAUACAGCUGGACAGGAAAGGUUCCAGAGCCUUGGCGUAGCUUUCUACCGGGGUGCUGAUUGUUGUGUUCUUGUAUAUGAUGUCAACUCCAUGAAAUCAUUUGAAAACCUCAACAACUGGCGAGAAGAGUUUCUCAUCCAGGUUCCAAAACCUCAACCUGGUUCUCACCCCUCAUACUAGGCAAAGCAUUAACUCAGAGUUUAACUGUCCCUUUACAGGCGAGUCCAUCUGAUCCAGAGAAUUUUCCCUUUGUUCUUAUCGGAAACAAGGUCGACGUGGAUGGUGGAAACAGCAGAGUGGUAUGUAUUAUGUAUGAUGAUAAGCCUACUUAAUUUUCCAUUGAGAUGUAACAUCAACUUCCACACAUUGAUGACGCACAGGUUUCAGAGAAGAAGGCUAAAGCUUGGUGUGCUUCAAAGGGAAACAUUCCCUACUUUGAGACCUCUGCUAAGGAAGGCACCAAUGUUGAGGAAGCUUUCCAAUGCAUUGCCAAGAACGCUCUGAAGACCGGAGAAGAGGAAGAGCUGUAAGUUUCAAAACAGUUCAGACUCUCUAUACAUCUUCGCGAGUUUGGUCUCAACGUUUCUCUUUCGUCUUUUCAGAUACUUGCCAGACACAAUCGAUGUGGGGACAAGCAAUCAACCGAGAUCUUCAGGGUGUGAAUGCUAAAUGGGUUUCUCUCUCUCUCCGAGAAGAAUGCUUUUGAUUUCAACAGUGUGUUUUGGUCUCUCCCAUUACCUCUCUUCACCAGCUAUCUCUAAAGUUUAUUACAUGCUGUAAAUUUGUUCUUUUGGGUGAAAAAAAGAACCCUUCAAAUCCAUGGACUACUUGAUCAGUGUUCCUUCUUUUUCAUUAUAUAAAAAGUUAUUUUAAAUGUGUGUUUGUUUUAAAAUUUAAACUAUUUCACAUUUUCUAAGCAGCUUUAUAUUGAUUUGAUAUUGCAUAAUUAAUUUCAGUUUAUAAUGUUUUUGAUAAUUGUUUGAAUUAUAUCCAAUUUGUGUAUUAAACAAUAUUUUCAAUUCUUUUAUCUAAGAACAACUGAUAUCAUAAAACAUGAGUAACUUUGUGGGUUUAUAAAGAAAACAUAUUAUUUCAUUCAAGUAACAUAUCUGAUCAAAUUUAUACAACUUUGGUAUGCCAAAUUCCCAUCCAAAUCCUAUUAAAAGAAAAACUCACUGCUUGUUUAAUCCAAUCUCAACCUCGGUAUUCGAACCGGAGUUCUUGUUCUUGGAGUCUCUCCACCUAAACCCACUAAAAAGCUCAUCCAUGUCCUCAAGCAUCCUCCCUUGCGUCUCCCGCAAGAACGUAUAGAAAAACACCCAAGCCACCGUCGCAAUCCCACCGAACAAAUAAAACGCUCCUCCGGUAGUCAUCCCUUUCGACAUCGGCAAAAACGUCAUCGAUAUCACACCGCUCGUCACUCUGUUCACCACCACUCCCAUACUCGACCCCUGCGACCUCAGCCUCAACGGGAAUAUCUCCGAGCUGUAAACCCACGUGAUAGGCCCAGCUCCGAUAGAAAACGUGGCCACGUAAGUCAUCACAGUCGCGAUGCUCAACACCACGGCCCACAUCACUUUCUUAUCCGACUGGUUUAUAACCGUCAGAGAGGUCCCUAAAACCGCUAAAGACAGCACCAUCCCUCCGACACUAGUUAGAAGCAACGGUCGUCUUCCGACACGGUCGAGUAAGAAAGUAGCGACUAAUAUAAACGAUGUUUUAACGACUCCUACCGCUACGGUCGCGAGAAGCUGCUCGUGAUCCGUUUCGAGCCCCGCGGUUUUGAAGAUCCUCGGCGAGAAGAGAACUACCGCGUCGAUGCCGGAAGCCUGCUGGAAGAAGUGGAUCCCGAUGGCGGCGAUCAUGACGCGGCGCACGGCGGGAGUGGGGCGGAGGAGGAGCUCUUUCCACACUCCUUCCCCGUGGCUGUUCCUCCUCGAGACCUGGACGACGUCGUCGUGGCAGUCGGCGGGGAUCCCGGCGGCUUCUUUGAUGUCUUCGAGGCGGAGGGAAGCUUCGGCGGGGGAAUCGGAGGUUUUGUCGAGGACGCGUUUGGCUUCGCCGAGGCGGCCUUGCAUGACGAGCCACCGCGGCGAUUCGGGCAUGGCGAGGACGCCGAUGGCGAGUACGACGGAAGGUAUGGCUCCGAUGCCGAGCAUGAAUCGCCAGCCGAGCUUCAGAGGGAACUUUGAGAAGGCGAGGUUUGAUACGUAGCCGAGCAUUAUUCCCGCGUUGAUGAAGACCUGUACACGUCAGCAAAACCAUUCCGUCACGUCAGAUAUUAUUGUCUUUUUUAUAAAUUAAUUAAAUUUGUCAUAACCUCUUUUGAAAACAUGGACCAAACCUACCAAACUAUCUAUAUUUUGGCCUAAAGGUUAUAAAGAUGAUGAACGAAAGUCAACGAUUUGUUGAUAAUGAUGUUUGUUUUUAAUAUUUUUUUUUACAAAAAAACUACUUUUGGUCGACUACUGAAAAAUACAUUUGACAUUAUGCUCUGAAUUUUUGUUUACUAGUAAAUUAAAAUGAUUUUCUGCUAAGUAACGUAAAUUUUAGACCAGAACUAAAAACUAAAACAUGCACCAAACCUACCAAAAUAACUAUAUUUUGGCUAAAUCGUUAUAUAUUUAUUUAUAUUUUUGUUACAAAAACCACUAAAUGUAAAAGAUAUAUACUAAGAUCAAAAAUACAUUUAACAACGCUUUUUCAGAAUUUUGUUUACAGGUAAUCAUUGUUAAAAGGAUUUUUCUGCUAAAGUAACAUACUUCUAGAAAAAAAAAGAUUUUUUUUAUCGUCCAUGGUCUAGGAUCAUUUUGCAAACAUUGAGUAAGUUAUAAGAUCAUUAGAUCCUAUAAAAAUAAGAGGUCAUAUAUAAUUGUUUUCAUAAAAAUUACAGGAAAUUACUCACUCCAAUGAAUCUGAUUAUAAUUUUGUUACGCGUUAGGCUUCCAGAAAAUUAAUCUUCAUUUAGCAACUUGAGAAAUUUUUAAUAUUAAUUUCAUUAAAAUAUAUAUACCUCAGGGANNNNNNNNNNNNNNNNNNNNNNNNNNNNNNNNNNNNNNNNGGAAAGAGGUGAGGAAGCCGCGAGAAGACGCCGGAGAGACUUCGGCGGUAUAGACAGGUGCGAUCAUGAGGGCAUAACCAACCCCUAUACCGGCGACAAACCUCCCGAACAUGAGAAAAGCGUAGUUAGGGGCGAAUCCCAUGAGGAGUGCUCCGGCGAAGAAUAUAGCUCCGGCCAACACGAUUGUGUAACGCCGACCAAUCCAGUCAGAUGUUCUACCAGCGGCGCAAGAUCCAAGGAGUGAAUAAAUGUUAAGGAUUCCGGCGAGAAUACCGAUUUGAAGAUCACUAAUCUUCAGAUCUCUCUUGAUAUAAAUCAUUGCUCCACUCAUCACUCCUAUAUCUAUAUAUUACAAAAAAUGAUUAUCAACUGACAAACGAGAUGUACACAUAGUCACACAUCUAAACAAAAGUAAUGUAUUGGAAUUAUAUGAAUCAGAUGUCAACAUCCAUAAAUGAUUAUGUGUUCAUCCUGAUAGUUAAAAAUGUGUGCCGACUUUAAAGAAUAUUGUGAUUGUAUAAUUAGAGGUGAUCUGUUAUUUUGUUGCGUUGACCAAAAAAGAGGCUAACGAGAAAACUAACCAUAACCAAGGAGGAUGGAAGUCAUGGAAGCUAAGAUUGCACACGCGAAAGCAUACUUGUUCCUCUUUGGUUUAGCCUGCGGACCUAACUCCGGUACAUGUUUUGUGGAAUCCCCAUGUUUUGUUGCCGGUGCUGGCGAAGGGACUGAUUGGUUUUCCGGCGUGAAACCUGUCAUUUAGAGUGCGGAGGGUGAGAGAGACAGUUGUGGGGACUGAGUAUACCAACAACUUGUGGCAAUGAGCUAUGUCUUAAAUAGACGUUUUGUGUUAAGACGAGUCACUUGGAAAGGGCAAAAUUGUCCGAUACAAUGGGAACACUGCCUGCCUAAAGUUACAUGCAUCACAUUGGCAUCUUUCGUUAGAGACAAAACAUAAAUAUCAGUAGAGGAACGGCAACUAAUGAUAAUACAUCAGUUUCGUUUUUAUAUGUAAUUAUUCAGUACAAUUUUAUAUUGACCUUAUUUGGAUGUACUCUACCAACAAUGACGACCACAUUGAAAAAUAUAGGAGGGCUUUAAAGGUAAAUCUCGUAAAAGGCUACUUGUUGUCCAUGUGAGCUUUGUUGAUCUUGAGGAUCGAACUAUUGAACACAUAAAAGACGGUUCAAAUAGUGUUAUUUAUUUCAAUUUAAAACCAUUUUCCUUCUGUAACCUACGGGUCUAAAUAAAUAAAUGAAAAACAACCAGCGGGCAGCUAAUAUAUUCGUGCGAUCUGGGGUAAGAUCACCAAUAGCCGCAGUUUACACAGCUUACAGAUUCGGAUCGAUGGCACUGGAUAUAUAAUAAAUCUAUGGCCAAGAAAUCUGUAUUAGUUUCCUAUUUUUCCUUAAUAUAGAUGUUUUCUGUCUAUGUUGAUUUUGUUUGUAGAUCGAUGUUUUCUGUCUGUGUAACUUAGAGAUCGAUGUUUAUUCCGGUGAACCAGAUCUGUACUGUUCAUAUCCCCAUUUAUGAGUCGAUUUAAUUUAAUAUAUAUUUUUUUAAAAAAAAUUGUAGUGUUUAUUCUGCGUACGGCGUACCUUGCUUUGAAGUUGAGACAAGGCUUAUCCAACAAUGAGACUUCUGAGAGUACUUCCUGUAUUGAAGGCCUUAGACCAUCUCUAAUAAUUCACCAUAUUUUUUAUUCUAAAAUCAAAUAAUUUUAUAAUAGAGUUGUGAUCCAAUAGUACUCUAUUUUAGAGUAAAAAAUAGAAUAUCAUUAUAAUAUAACUCAAAACUAUUAUAAAAUUACUUUAUGUUAGAGUAAAAAAUAAAGUGAACCAUCGGAUAUCGUGUUGCGGAAGUAAAACCUUAGUUUUGUGUAACGCAUGUUCUCUUGUUCGAAUCCUUUUGUAGCUUAUGUGAUGACUAUUCACGUACGUGUGCAUGUUUUUCACGUAUAAAACCAGAAAACAAACUACCUAAUGAAAUAUUUAUGCGUAAUUUGGAAUUCUAACUAAAGUAAGUUGAUUAAUUAAUGACUUUUUAUGCGUAAUUUGGGAUUCUGAUAACAUUUAUGAGUUUAUUAUUAUAUAUUUGAUUAAAUUGUGUUCAUUGCUGAAGUGUAUCAAGUACUAUUCCUUUUGUUUCUAGAAUAGUGUCAAUCUAGCAAUUUUUUUUUUGUUAUAUAUAAAAAAACAUUGUUUUAAAAUUUCAAUGCAUUUCAUACUUACUUUCAUCUCGAUAUUAAUUAUAAAAUGAAUUGAUCUAAUAAAUAAAUUUAUUUAUCUUAAAUAAUAUUAGUUUAACAUAUAUAAUUAAUGAAAAUAUAAAUACAUUUCAAUUAUUUUUUUAAUAUGUGUGAAAAAUGUAUAAGUGAUAUUUUGUAUGAAACAUAUAAAUUAUAAAUUAAGGCUCGUUAAAAAAAAAGUUCAUUAGAGAAGCCGGGUCAACACACACAACAGUCCAAGACCACAUGUCUUGAUUCUUCAAGAUGAUAAGAGGUAAAUUAAUCACUAACAACAAUACUAGAAGAUUCCUGCAAUUUUUUUUGUGGUAUAGUAUUCAUAUAUGAUAUUUAUGGAUAUACUUGCAAGAAACCAUCAGUCGAGAAGUCGUUUGCUUACGAGAGCAGUCGCUGUUACGAAGACUAUGAAUUUUCAAAACAUAUAUUGCUUGAACUUGUAGACUCUUUUAGUCAAAUUAACAACAAAAUCAAGUACUAUCAAAUACAUGUCAUAGUUUAAAAAAACAAAAAUCAAAUACAUGUCAUCUCCUUGAUCUGUCAGACACCCGUUUAAUAUAUUUCUAGAUUUCCAGCCUCCAGGAGCGUUUUGGUUAUGGUUAAACCCGUUGAUCUUUUCUAUUUGCCAUAUGAAAAUCCUCUCUAGCCUUUCCAUGGUACUAAAAGUAUAUGGUUCAGUAGCUCCCAUAGAAAUAAUAAAUUCUUACUGUAAUUCUUAGUACUUUAGGUGUAAUUAUAUCGCACACAUACAUAACUGUGGCAAUAUUAAUUCUUAUGGACUGUCGAGAUGUUUUGUUUAAGAGGACGGGUGAAAAUUAAAUAAUUGCAUCUACAGACUUAGGUGAUGAUUGUUUGUUUGGUUUCUAGUUUUUGGUUUUUAGUUUUUGAUUUUGCAGUAGAUUUUAGUUUUUUGAAAAACAUGAUUGGUGAUUUUAGAUUUUAAUUUUUAGUUUUUGGUUUUUGUUUACAAAAUAAUGAAAUGAAAAUAUUAUCAAUAGUAAAAUAUUUAUUCUAGAAAUAAAAAAUAUAAUAUCAUUACCAAAACACACAUAAGCUUAUUUUUUUUUUAAAAAAACAGCAAAAACAAAUAUAAUUUUAUGUUUAAACAUAAACUUAAAAUUUUAAUUCUGUGUUUAAACAUAAGUUAUAUAUACUUUGCUUUAUAAUUUUAAUAUAUUUAUACAUAAUCUAGCUAAAAUUAUUAAAAGGUACAUUAAUACAACUAAAUUUAUACAUAAUUUUUUUGUAUUGGCUAAAUUUUAAAAAUUAAAUUUCUUUUUUUUAUUAAUUAGUUUUAAUUUUUUUAUUAAAUUAUUUUAUAAUUUAAUAAAUUAAAUUAAAAAAUGUGGCUAUCGGUUCAUUAUUAGAUAAAAUAUUAUUCAACUGUAAUAGCUUUGGUAAAAUUAAGCUGUGUUAUAAAUAUUAUUCUUCUUAAAUUUUAUUCUAAGUUAUUUUAAUAAAAAUAAAAAUUAUUAUUAAAAAGGCCCUUUAUAUCCUAAAAAGAAUUUUUUUUUUACUGAUAUAGAUUAUUUUGUAGUUUUAGAAUUUAAAUUUAAAUGAUAGACAACAUUUUUUGUUGAUUCUUAGUAAUUUGGAAUAGUUACUAUAUUAUCACUAAUCUAUUUUUAUUUAUUUAUACUAUAUUAAUGCUCAAAUAUAGAAAUAAUAUUAAAAAAAAACAAAAAAAAGGUCACGUACAUUGUUUAAGGAAACCAAAAAAAUGUGGUUUUUAGUUUUUGCUAAGAAGUAGGUAGUUAUUUCAAAAUCUGGUUUUCUAAAUUUUAGGGAAUCUAUUUUUCAAAAAUCUUGAUUGGUAAAAAAAUAGAUUUUAGAAAAUCAAAAACAAAAAACCAUUUUAAAAACUGCAAACAAUCAAACAUCGGGUUUUUAACUUACUAUACUAUAUAUUUAGUAGUCAAAAGCUUUUUCUUGUCCACAUUACUACUAUUACUUAUUCUUUUUGACAAAUGGUUUACGACUAUUGCUUUUCUUCUGUACUGAUUGUUUCUCAUUGUGAUACUUAUAGUAUAUAUAUGUAUCAUGUCUUUAAAUAAAGAAAUAUGUAUCUAUGGGAAACAUCUUUAUAUAAUAAUAUAUGAACAUACAUCUUUUAUUUAACGAAAAAACAACGUACGUUUUCAAUAUUAUACCUUAUUUUAGUGUUUGCGUUUUGUCAAAAAGACUAAUUAAUUGUCGAUGAUAUUACCUCAACAUAUCAAUGUUAGAAAAGGACCAAUAAUUGAAGCAGCAAAUGGUGAAGUGGGCCAAGUUUUGGCAGUAAAGGCAGCCAUCAUGUGUGACCAUAUAGCAUUACGCAGCUCGGCAAUUUGGACUCUCAUAUGAUAUGAUUUGACUUCCACUUUCUAAUUUCCAAGGUGAUUUUACACACAUUUAUGUUCGUGCAAUCAUAAAUGUUAACUAUUUGAACUGUCAAGCAGAUAUACUAUACUCGUAAACAAACUUCUUGUAGAAUAGCUAUUUCCAAAAGAAUCUUAAAAGGCGGAGUAGGGAAGAUAAUAUUUUUCUUUUGUAUCAAUUAAUGCAUCACAAAGACAUUAUAUAUCUUAUCUAUCAUUAAAUGCAUGUUGUAAACUGAUACUUUUACUCUGUUUCAUUAUAAAUGUCGUUUUAGAUUUCGACACACAUAUUAAAAAAACAACUAAUUUUAUACAUUUCCUAUAAAAAAACACUAUUACCUAUGCGCCUAACCAUAUUUCAACCACUAAAAAUAUAAAUUUUGCAUAAAAUUAAUAAAUUUUGCAUUGAAAAUCGAAAACGACACUUAUUUUGUAACGAAAAAAUUCUCUAAAAUAACACUUAAUAUAAAACGGAUGGAGUAAAACAAAUGUGUCCUUAUUAGAAAUUCGUUGACUUUUAAGUUAACACCCAAGAGUAGUAUAGACAUAUCUAUGUAGUUGAAUUGGACCAUGACGCAAUAAGACAAUACUCCAUCCGUUUCGAAUUAUAUGUCGUUUUAGAGCAAAAUUUUUGUUUCAAGAUUAGUGUCGUUUUAUGAUUUCAAUGCAAAAUUUAUUGAUUUUUUAUUCUAAUCUAUUUUUCUAUUGAUUGAAAUAUGGUUAGGUGUAUUGGUAAUGAUGUUUUUAUCUAAUAAAUAGAUAAACUUAAAUAUUUUAUUAAUCUAUGUGUCGAAUUUUAGAACGACAAGUAAAAUGAAACGGAUGGAGUAUUUGUUUGUUUAUAAACUAGAUGAGAAAUUACUUUCUUUUUGUCGAGAAAUAAUCAACUACUUAACGAAGAUACUAUUACAUGUCCAACGUAUAACAUGCAAUAUCUACAUAUAUAUAUAUAUAUAUAUUAAAAAUGAGCUGCAAUAAAAGGAGCUAUUUUUUUUUUUUCCGUCAACUGAUUUAUAUUAGAACAUGAUGAAAUACAUAACCGGAACAAAGUGAAAUCUUCAGAACUAGAACCCAUACAAGGGUAACUUAAGUCCAAACACAAGCAACUACCAACAAACUGAAUGAUAACUUAAAAGAUUAAAGCAAGAUCAUACCUCUACACCCACAUACAUUAAUGUUCAAAGGCCGAAGAUAAAUAGUAAGGAGCCUAAAACAACCGGAUAACUUGCGGAGAACAACAUUCAGACAAGUGAGCAAGCGACGUGAAGGACAUAAACGACCUAAACUCAUCUGAACCUCUGGUCACGAUGAAGAGAUGAAGAGCCAGAACCACGCAAAUUAGCAUCCCACACGACACUGACCCCUGAACCCUAGAACCAAAAGAACUGAACCACCCGGGACAAACCGCUCCCCUGCAUCUUCAUCCAGUUGAUCCCACACCUCGACCUCUUUAUACUGCUUCAAACAUCCAAGAUGAAGCCACUGAGGAAUUAAGAGGGUAGCGAGCAAACCGGGAAAGAUCCUUAUUGAAAGAUGCGACGAGGAUUCCUUCGCGGCAUGAAAUGGAGAUGUGACUUAACCAACUUCAUCACAACGAAGAUGCUAACCAUGUUCUGCUCACGAACACGCCAAGACGCCACAGCUGAAACCGUUGCUGACACAAGACUAACUAGAACUAUUUAUGAGCCAUACAGAGCUUAAGUGGGUGACAUCCUCUCAACUUCACACAGCAAAAAACAGUUAUCGAGCUCCAUUGAACCUUCUCGAACCUUCUUUACCGGAACUGAGACACAGCAAAUGAAGAAGAGAGCAGCUGUAGGAAAAACUGGUAUAUGAAGGACCACAGGCCAAACAAAGAAACCAUAGAGAGCUAAUGCUGCAGUCCGCAACUAGAACCACCAUCUCCAUAACAACAAGACCAGGCAUAGGCUUCCACGCGCCUCCAACGCGCCAAGAACAGUGAUAAGCCAAAACCAGAUCUAGGAGAUAGGUAACAGAUUUUUCAUAGUCCGGAAACGAACAGCAAGCUAACCCCACAUCCAGUCCAUCAACAACAAAGUCAUUAGAUCCAGAUCUGAAACUCCAUGAAUGACAAAUCUAGGUGGAUAAACUGUUUUGAGAGGACACAAAGAGAACCAUGCAAGAUAACAAACGACACAAACUAACUAAGAAAUCUCCCAAGGUGCCAACGGCAAUGCGCCGGACACCUGAGAUAAUAAAACCACGGCAAGCUCUCCUUUUUUUUCUCUGCUCUCGACUUUUUUAACCAAAGUGGCAAUAAGAGGAGCUAAGCAAACCCUUUGUCAAAUAAAUAAAUAAAUAAAAGGAGCUAAGCAGUAGUCACGAUCUCAUAUUCUAAUUUAGAUUUAUGUUAAUACUACUAAGUUACUGAUCAAUUAGGUGUAGACUUCUGUAGAUAUGGUUUUCAAGCCUCGUGCGGCGUGUCCACAAUCUUCUACAAAA
This 36449-nucleotide long non-coding RNA is filed under the name Brassica napus (rape). RNAcentral's name for it is "long non-coding RNA (BNAP_LNC013550)". The record is from RNAcentral. Lineage: Eukaryota; Viridiplantae; Streptophyta; Magnoliopsida; Brassicales; Brassicaceae.